This 1560-nucleotide long non-coding RNA is filed under the name Malus domestica (apple). RNAcentral describes it as "long non-coding RNA (MDOM_LNC008795)". The record is from RNAcentral. Lineage: Eukaryota; Viridiplantae; Streptophyta; Magnoliopsida; Rosales; Rosaceae.
ACCCCGACGGUUGCCCCGAGGUAGCACCAUCCAAGAAGAAGACAAGGAAAAUUAAUUUUUUCUUACCUCAGAGCGGCACGAAAAAGACGAAGAAAGCAACGAAAAACGAUCUUUUGCACGGGCAAGAUGUAGAAAAUUGCUAGAGGAGGGGGAACAAAUAUCCUCUAAGCUAUCUCUCUUGUAGGGUAGAAUAAAUCGCUCUCCAAAGUUGAUUUAAUAACCCACUUAUGGUGGACUUAAAUAGGCUUUGAGAGAAAUUUAUUUCCCUUUCCUAGAAAGAUCUAAUUUUCUAUUAAAGAGAGAAUCUACAUCAAAAUAGGAAGCAGUCCUAAGUUUCCUAAAGCAAGAAGAUCUCUACACCUGCUGCCCUUUUCUGCGAGCAGCCCAACAAGUGUGGGGGCAUUUGUGGAGCCAAAAAUAUUCACAAGGCGACAUGUGGAUUUUUUACAACAUAAGACAAAACUACCCUUGGGGCAUACCGUGAUUCCAACGCGCAAGCAGCGGGCAAUUAUCCCUCAACCAAGUCAAAAGUGCCCAAAAUAGGUAUCAACUUAAAACCUAAUUUAUUCAUAUAUUUCCUAUUUCAUUAUUUAGCUAAUCAAUUAGCUAAAUACUUCACUUAUUCCAUAAUUCCUAAAACAUUCCUUCUAAAAUAAUGAUAAAUAGCUAAUUAAUGGGUUAAUUAGCUAAUUAUUCCCUUAAUUAGCAUUUAGACCUUUCACUUUACCCUAACUCCCACAAAAAGGCCGGCUAUCCCCAUUUCAAAACCUCAUCCAUCACCUUUUCUACCUUUUUCACCAUUUCUUCCUUUUUAUUAGCCAAUAAAUUUCAUAACCACAAAAGCAUUUCCUUUUAUGUUUAAUUAGCCAAUUAAUUGGCUAAUUAAACCAAAACAAAACCUAAAACCCGACUAAGUGGCCGGCCAUCCUUUCCUCUCCUAUAAAUUGGUUUCCAUUUUCACCAAACACUAAUUCCAACACUUUGGCAAAAAUCCCAAAAUUCUCUAAACACUUUUUCUCUCUAAAUUCUAACUUUGGCAUCGGAGGUUCUUCGGCCAAAGCCCCCCCAUUCAUCGUGGGCGCGUGAGGCUCUUGGCCUUAACCUAAGGUGUUAAUUGUUUUGUAGGUGCAGAAUUGUCCAAGAUCAAGGAGGAAGAAAUUUGCAUCCACAAACUACUUUAGCUCAAAACAAUCGCAAGUAUGAAAGCCACCUUCCCACGAGACAAAAACAAUCACUAGCUGCCAUAUUACAAACAUGAGGAACAAAAAGGAAUUCUACUGACCUCAAUUGUUGGUUCACACAUUGAAUAUCAAAUUGAAGAGCUUUAUCGCAACAUUUGGUUGAGUUUUGUCAUUAAUCAUAUCUACAAGACAUUUGGAGUCCGAUUCUACACGAACCGCAUCAAAACCCUUGUCAAUUAUACAAGCCAACAAAAACGCCCACACAACUUCCACCUAUUGAAAUUGGUCCAAAUGUCACAAGCCUUUGCAGGUGUUCUAUUUGCGGUAACUUCCUCUUUAUAACCUAAACCGGCUAGUUACGAAUGGAUUUAGAAAGAAA